CCUACGGGAGGCAGCAGUGAGGAAUAUUGGUCAAUGGACGAGAGUCUGAACCAGCCAAGUAGCGUGAAGGAUGACUGCCCUAUGGGUUGUAAACUUCUUUUAUAUGGGAAUAAAAUGUUCCACGUGUGGGAUUUUGUAUGUACCAUAUGAAUAAGGAUCGGCUAACUCCGUGCCAGCAGCCGCGGUAAUACGGAGGAUCCGAGCGUUAUCCGGAUUUAUUGGGUUUAAAGGGAGCGUAGGUGGGUUGUUAAGUCAGUUGUGAAAGUUUGCGGCUCAACCGUACAAUUGCAGUUGAAACUGGCAGUCUUGAGUACAGUAGAGGUGGGCGGAAUUCGUGGUGUAGCGGUGAAAUGCUUAGAUAUCACGAAGAACUCCGAUUGCGAAGGCAGUUCACUGGACUGCAACUGACGCUGAGGCUCGAAAGUGUGGGUAUCAAACAGGAUUAGAUACCCCUGUAGUC
RNAcentral lists this ribosomal RNA (460 nucleotides) under uncultured bacterium. RNAcentral's name for it is "partial 16S ribosomal RNA". It matches the Rfam family "Bacterial small subunit ribosomal RNA", at positions 338 to 795 of the family's 1533-position model. The record is from RNAcentral.